ACUGAUGAAUUAUUAAUGAAUGAUUAUAAAAGAAUUUUGAUCAUACGAUACAUCAAACGUUUGUUUAUAUUCUUACAACAUCAAAACAAUGCAAUUUGUUGUCCCGUGCAUCGCACGGGUACAAUUACUAGUUAUAUUAUAUAUGUAUAUGUAUCUAGCGUAUGUGUGUGUGUUUGUUAGUCAAAGAAGGUGGCAAAUUAAAUUAUUAUUUAAUAAACUUCACAUGGCACUUAGUUGAGUUUUACACUCUUCCUUCUCCUUCUUCUUCCAACACCUAACCCCCUUCUUGUCUUCCUCUCUCCAUUCCACCGAAACCUCAUGAUCACCACCACCUCCAUUCUUCAUCUUCUUCCACAUCAACUCCUAUUUUUCAAAGAAAAUGAAAAAUAAAUUUCAAAGUCAUCUAUUUAACCAUGAACUUGUAGUAGCCUAGAACACCAUUCUCCAAAUAAAAGUAUACAUCUCACUUGAAAAUCAACCUUUGAAGCACUUCCCGUCGAUUUUUCCUUCAUUUUCUUUCGGUUUUAAGGUAAGAAAUUCUGAUUUCUUGCUGCAAUUAAAUGGCAUCAAUAGUAUUAAAAUGGUUUUCAAAAUUACUUAAAAGAUUGGGGAAGAUUUUGAAGAAAUUAGUACUUUUGUGGAAAAAUGGAAAAUAUGUGUUAAUUGUUGAUUUCUUGUUCUUGCAUGCAUCAUCUAUGUUGAUAGUGGGUAGAUACAAGUUUUAUUGGCCAAAAUCAUAAAAAAAUUCGAAUUUCAAAAAGGGUUUUCAAGAAAAAUGAAUUUUUGAACUUUAUGGGGUUGCAUGUAUAGAUCUUCAAAAGUUUUGGGUCAAAUCUAUAAUUUUUGAGAAGUCAGUCCUAAAUGUGUUUUCAAAACUGUUCUCCAGCAUUUAUUGAACAAGAAUUUCGGAUUUAGGUGGUGUUUGCAAAUGAUUAUUUAAGUGAUUAUGCGGUUUUUUUUUUGCUCAUAAUCUGUUUUUAAGUGUUUGCAAAAUCAACUUUUGCUUCUGCUUCUCUUAAAAUAAUCUGCUUUAAGCUAUUUUUUUAAAAGCACCCAUAACCCUGCUUUUUCAAUUUUAGUUCAUUUUCCGAAAUAUUUGCAAACACCCCCAACUUUUAGAACUAAGCACUUAAAACUAACUUAAAUCACAAUCACUAACUUCUGCUUUUAAAUAAUCAUUUGCAAACACCACCUUAAAGGUGUUUUGUAAGAAAAAGUGAUUUUUGAACUUCUAGUGGCCUUGCAUGUAUUGAUCUAGAAAUUUUGGGGUAAAAUUUGUAAUUUUCGAAAUUUCUGCAUAAAGUGACUUUCUAACUUUGUUUUCUACAUAUAUUGAAUCAAAAUUUCAGAUUGUUAUGGAAUUUUCAUGAAAAAGUGGAUUUUGAACUUCUAGUGUGGUUGCAUGUGUAAAUUUUGAAACUUUGGGGUCAAAACUAUAAUUUCCGAAAAAUCUGUCAUUUUUAAUUUUUUUGAAAUCUAUUUUCCAGUAGGUAUUAAAUGAGGAAAGAGUUUUCUUUACAAAGUUUUCAAAGUAAUUAAGGUCACAUGAGAGUUUUAGAUUUUUAAAAGAAAAAUGGAAUUUUUGAGUUUUUAAGUUCAAGAAAAUUCGAAACUUUGUGAAAAUUUAAAAUAAUUUCAGAGUCUGAAAUUUGGGUCUGUUAGGAGUUCUAGGAUUUAAUUUGGGAAUUUUUGGAAUUAGUUUGCUAUUAUUUCAAAAUUAGGAUAAAUUGCAUGUCAUUUAUUAUGUUUUGUGCUUUUAUUUCCAUAUCUUUGAAUUAAUAAUUGUGAGUAAUGAACUUUGGGAUUUUGUACUUUUAAUUGCUGCCUGGAUGUGGAUUAAUUGCUGUGAGAAUUUAUUGGAAUGAAUUAUUACCUAGAAGUGGUAAUAAGUUCGUUAGAUGAAAGAUGAGAAAGGGGUGCAUGGUUUGAAUGUUACAUGGUGAUGUUUUAAUGUGUUGGCUGCAUGUGUGUGCAUGUGUGUGUGCUGAUUGUGCAUGUGGUGUGUGCCGUUUGUGGUUGUGUGUUAUAUGUGUGAAUUUGGGGAUUUUUGCCCAAAUUAUAAAUAUGUGGUGAAUUGUGAUAUUUGUGUGAUUUUGUGGCACUUGAUUGAUAUUUGUGAUGUUACGUGUGGGUCAUAAGCAUAAUUUUGAAAAGAUGCAUUUCACGGUUUUUUUUAAAUUGGAAGGUUAAUGGAAUACCGGGUAAUAAACAACUAUAGAGGGCCGGUAUCCAACUAGGAUGAAAUGAUGUGGUUUGAUCCCACUUAGUGAAAACGGGCUCGUAACAGGUUUAUUAUCCAGGUACAGAAAUUAAUCUUUCACGGAUCCGAUAAAACGAAAAAUGUGUUUUUCAUGAUUUUCAUAAAAAGGGCAUUUUAGUCAUUUUGCAUAAGUACGUGAUUUUGUGUGAAUGAUGUGUUUUCGUGAGUUAGGUGAGUUGAUCGUUUGUCUUAUGUUGUUGUGCGGAACGUGGGUAAGAAUGGGUAUAUAAUAUUAUAUAUUAUGUAUAACGUAUUUUCAAAGUUCGAUAUUUCAUCGAAUUUCUUACUGAGCUUUAUAGCUCAUAUAGGUGUCUUUUAAUUGCAGGUAAUAGCGUUAGAAAUCCUCAAUCGGAAUGGAUCGAGUAGUGGAUCGAGGUCUUGCCCGGGUGUUUUGGAAGUUGUACGAGGACCUAUGAACGAUGCUAAAGUGUUUUGGUUAUUCUCUUUUGGUGAUGUAAUAAUAAACCUAACUACUUUCCUUUUCGUACCUUUUAAACUCACUACCGGUAUGAAUCGUACUAAACUCCUAUUAUAAAAUAGUCUGUUUCGUAAUUUUUGCUAUUUUCAUGCCUCCGUUAGAAAUUUCUGAAUUAUUCACCAAAAUAACCUUUCCAAACUCUGAUUUCUUGUCGAACCGAAAGCCGAUAGUGAUAAUGUAGCACUCGAACGAAAAACCUCCCCUCGAAACUUAUUUCCAAACGAAACCUUUAUUUGGCUAAAGUAACCUAAGAGAGUUUUCGAAAAAUGCAAAGUUUUAAUAAUUGCAUUUUGGUCCCAUUCCAAAGUUUUAAAAAUUACAAAGCGAUCCUUUGCUUCCGCUAGUUUAAUGAACAUUCCGAUAAACCGGUUCGAUUUAUCGCCCGACUUGAAGGAGGGUGCUACAGCGAUAGUUAGGGGUGCAAGUUGGAACGGAUUUUCCAAUUUCCG
Molecule: long non-coding RNA, 3187 nt
Filed under: Erythranthe guttata (spotted monkey flower)
Lineage: Eukaryota; Viridiplantae; Streptophyta; Magnoliopsida; Lamiales; Phrymaceae
Description: long non-coding RNA (EGUT_LNC003821)
Source: RNAcentral